This 768-nucleotide long non-coding RNA is filed under the name Nicotiana benthamiana. RNAcentral describes it as "long non-coding RNA (NBEN_LNC032880)". Lineage: Eukaryota; Viridiplantae; Streptophyta; Magnoliopsida; Solanales; Solanaceae. The record is from RNAcentral.
AAAUACACAGGACGACGGGUCAGGUCGUUACAACCUAGUAUGAGAGGUAACCUUUCUUCAGCAAACUAUUAGACGAAAGCAUUCACAGACUCGUCAUAAGCAGUCCAAAUAAUCAAAUGUAGUCCAUAAAAUCAUAUUACAGUCCAGAUUAACCACAAUAAAAUACAAUAAAGCAUUGCUCAACAGAAAAUCUUAACAAAACUACGCUUCAACUUCAUUUCACUUUAUAACUAGAGAUCUAAAUUGUGAUAAAUUCAGGAUGUGUACCUGGUUUUUAUAACACAAUAAGAAGGAAGAGGAAUUAGCAUUAGUGAGCAAUAAUCAACACCUAAACCAAACAGCAACAAGACAAGUUUUAGAACCCAAAAAAAUUGCUAGAAACUCAGGACUGAUUUGCAGAAGAAAGAACACCAAUAAACCACUGAAAAUAGAUCAGAAUGAGCCAUAAUAAACUAUAAUUCAACCCAGUAUUCUCUGAAUUUGACCAACGAGAUCUGGAAACCUUCAAACCAUUUUUUGCUACUCUAUGAACUGAGAAUUUGAUCUAAAACUGGAUUUCGAACUUAAUCUAAGAGGAUUUCAAUGGAAUAGUAUUGUUUUUGGUUUUUUUUGUGCUAUUCUUGGGUUUUCUGAAGAUUUAUGAUCUAAAAGGAAUUUUCUAACUUCUAAAUUUCAGAUUUGGUUAUUGGAAUUUGAAAUUCAAAAUUCAUAUGGUUCAAACUUGUGAAACGAUGCAGUGUGGACAGCCUUUUAUAGGUAAAAGCUGAG